RNAcentral lists this ribosomal RNA (500 nucleotides) under uncultured bacterium. RNAcentral describes it as "partial 16S ribosomal RNA". It matches the Rfam family "Bacterial small subunit ribosomal RNA", at positions 899 to 1397 of the family's 1533-position model. The record is from RNAcentral.
ACUCAAAGGAAUAGACGGGGACCCGCACAAGCGGUGGAGCAUGUGGUUUAAUUCGAGGCAACGCGAAGAACCUUACCAGGCCUUGACAUGGGUAGUGUGGGAUAGAGAAAUUUAUCCCUUCAGUUUGGCUGGCUACCACACAGGUGUUGCAUGGCUGUCGUCAGCUCGUGUCGUGAGAUGUUGGGUUAAGUCCCGCAACGAGCGCAACCCUCAUCCUUAGUUGCUACCAUUUAGUUGAGCACUCUAAGGAAACUGCCGGUGACAAGCCGGAGGAAGGCGGGGAUGACGUCAAGUCAUCAUGGCCCUUACGGCCUGGGCUACACACGUGCUACAAUGGCGGAUACAAUGCGCUGCUAACCCGCGAGGGUAAGCGAAUCGCUAAAAACCGUCUCAGUUCGGAUUGCACUCUGCAACUCGAGUGCAUGAAGCUGGAAUCGCUAGUAAUCGUGGAUCAGCAUGCCACGGUGAAUACGUUCCCGGGUCUUGUACACACCGCCCGU